This 228-nucleotide ribosomal RNA is filed under the name uncultured bacterium. RNAcentral describes it as "partial 16S ribosomal RNA". It matches the Rfam family "Bacterial small subunit ribosomal RNA", at positions 568 to 795 of the family's 1533-position model. The record is from RNAcentral.
UGCGCAGGCGGCUUAUUAAGUCAGUGGUGAAAUCUCUCGGCUCAACCGAGAAACUGCCAUUGAAACUGAUAAGCUUGAGUGUGGUUGUGGUAGGCGGAAUAUAGCAUGUAGCGGUGAAAUGCUUAGAUAUGCUAUAGAACACCGAUCGCGAAGGCAGCUUACCAAACCAUUACUGACGCUCAUGCACGAAAGCGUGGGGAGCAAACAGGAUUAGAUACCCUGGUAGUC